GAUGAACGCUGGCGGCGUGCCUAAUACAUGCAAGUCGAGCGAACGGACGAGAAGCUUGCUUCUCUGAUGUUAGCGGCGGACGGGUGAGUAACACGUGGAUAACCUACCUAUAAGACUGGGUUAACUUCGGGAAACCGGAGCUAAUACCGGAUAAUUUUUUGAACCGCAUGGUUCAAAAGUUAAAGACGGUCUUGCUGUCACUUAUAGAUGGAUCCGCGCUGCAUUAGUUAGUUGGUAAGGUAACGGCUUACCAAGGCAACGAUGCAUAGCCGACCUGAGAGGGUGAACGGCCACACUGGAGCUGAGCCACGGUCCAGACUCCUACGGGAGGCAGCGGUAGGGAAGCUUCCGAGAUGGGCGAAAGCCUGACGGAGCAACGCAGCGUGGAUGAUGAAGGGCUUCGGAUCGGAAAACUCUGUUAUUAGGGAAGAACAUAUGUAUAAGUAACUGUGCACAUCGUGACGGUACCUAAUCAGAAAGCAACGGCUAACUACGUG
Molecule: ribosomal RNA, 497 nt
Filed under: uncultured bacterium
Lineage: Bacteria
Description: partial 16S ribosomal RNA
Rfam family: Bacterial small subunit ribosomal RNA
Source: RNAcentral